RNAcentral lists this transfer RNA (67 nucleotides) under Zeuzera multistrigata. RNAcentral's name for it is "tRNA-Leu". The record is from RNAcentral. Lineage: Eukaryota; Metazoa; Arthropoda; Insecta; Lepidoptera; Cossidae.
ACUAUUUUGGCAGAAAAAUGUAAUGAUUUUAGAAGUCAUAAAUAUAUAAAUUAUUAUAUAGAUAGUA